This 28-nucleotide non-coding RNA is filed under the name Mus musculus (house mouse). The record is from RNAcentral. Lineage: Eukaryota; Metazoa; Chordata; Mammalia; Rodentia; Muridae.
UGCUUUCAGGAAUUGUGCAUAGCAGGGA